RNAcentral lists this transfer RNA (71 nucleotides) under Kamptonema sp. SIO1D9. RNAcentral describes it as "tRNA-Gly". It matches the Rfam family "tRNA". From Rfam's summary of the family: Transfer RNA (tRNA) molecules are approximately 80 nucleotides in length. Their secondary structure includes four short double-helical elements and three loops (D, anti-codon, and T loops). Further hydrogen bonds mediate the characteristic L-shaped molecular structure. tRNAs have two regions of fundamental functional importance: the anti-codon, which is responsible for specific mRNA codon recognition, and the 3' end, to which the tRNAs corresponding amino acid is attached (by aminoacyl-tRNA synthetases). tRNAs cope with the degeneracy of the genetic code in two manners: having more than one tRNA (with a specific anti-codon) for a particular amino acid; and 'wobble' base-pairing, i.e. permitting non-standard base-pairing at the 3rd anti-codon position. Lineage: Bacteria; Bacillati; Cyanobacteriota; Cyanophyceae; Oscillatoriales; Microcoleaceae. RNAcentral also lists the same sequence under 6 other names. The record is from RNAcentral.
GCGGGUAUAAUUUAGUGGUAAAAUGUCAGCUUCCCAAGCUGAAUAUGCGGGUUCGAUUCCCGCUACCCGCU